AUCGCUUCUCAGCCUUUUGGCUAAGAUAAAGUGUAGUAUCUGUUCUUAUCAGUUUAAUAUCUGAUAUGUCCUUUAUCCAAGGACAAUAUAUUAAAUGGAUUUCUGGAACAGGGAGAUGUAAUAGGAGCUUGCUCCUUCCACUCCAUCUAUCGACCUGGUAUUGCAGUACUUCUGGGAAUGGUGCACCCCAG
Molecule: small nuclear RNA, 191 nt
Organism: Ailuropoda melanoleuca (giant panda)
Lineage: Eukaryota; Metazoa; Chordata; Mammalia; Carnivora; Ursidae
Gene: U2
Rfam family: U2 spliceosomal RNA
About the family: U2 is a small nuclear RNA (snRNA) component of the spliceosome (involved in pre-mRNA splicing). Complementary binding between U2 snRNA (in an area lying towards the 5' end but 3' to hairpin I) and the branchpoint sequence (BPS) of the intron results the bulging out of an unpaired adenosine, on the BPS, which initiates a nucleophilic attack at the intronic 5' splice site, thus starting the first of two transesterification reactions that mediate splicing.
Source: Ensembl